Long non-coding RNA from Metopolophium dirhodum (rose-grain aphid), 324 nucleotides. RefSeq lists it as uncharacterized. The transcript is spliced from 4 exons. The record is from RefSeq and is a predicted model, not a curated record. Lineage: Eukaryota; Metazoa; Arthropoda; Insecta; Hemiptera; Aphididae.
UAUUAUUCUCAUAAUCAACGCUGUAAAAUAUUAUUCAGUUAUUGUACAUCAGAUUUGUACCUACAAACAUGGGAAAAAGUAUUAAUUUUAUGAUAGCUAUAUUUUUUAUAUUAAAUGUCCUUGCCUGUACAUACGCUAAUGAAUGUAAUGGUAACAAAACGGCCAGUGGAAAAUAUAUCAUUGCUUUUAUGGAAAUAUUCAAUCCAGAUAAGCCCUCAACGAAGCCAGUUUUUUUUUGUAAUUUCGUAAAAACAUAAAAAAUUUAAUUUUUAUUUUAUGUUUGCACUUUUAAAAUUAUGAUGGUUUAAUGUAAGAAACUUUUGU